AGCAGAGUGGCGCAGUGGAAGCGUGCUGGGCCCAUAACCCAGAGGUCCGUGGGUCGAAACACCGCUCUGCUA
RNAcentral lists this transfer RNA (72 nucleotides) under Trichonephila clavipes. It matches the Rfam family "tRNA". From Rfam's summary of the family: Transfer RNA (tRNA) molecules are approximately 80 nucleotides in length. Their secondary structure includes four short double-helical elements and three loops (D, anti-codon, and T loops). Further hydrogen bonds mediate the characteristic L-shaped molecular structure. tRNAs have two regions of fundamental functional importance: the anti-codon, which is responsible for specific mRNA codon recognition, and the 3' end, to which the tRNAs corresponding amino acid is attached (by aminoacyl-tRNA synthetases). tRNAs cope with the degeneracy of the genetic code in two manners: having more than one tRNA (with a specific anti-codon) for a particular amino acid; and 'wobble' base-pairing, i.e. permitting non-standard base-pairing at the 3rd anti-codon position. Lineage: Eukaryota; Metazoa; Arthropoda; Arachnida; Araneae; Nephilidae. The record is from Rfam by way of RNAcentral.